RNAcentral lists this ribosomal RNA (1037 nucleotides) under human gut metagenome. RNAcentral's name for it is "bacterial LSU rRNA". It matches the Rfam family "Bacterial large subunit ribosomal RNA", at positions 1341 to 2398 of the family's 2925-position model. The record is from RNAcentral.
AUAUCUAAGGUUUCCAGAGUAAAGCUGAUCUGCUCUGGGUAAGUCGGGGCCUAAGGAGAGGUCGCAAGACGUAUCCGAUGGACAACAGGUUUAGAUUCCUGUACCGCAUAUAAACAGAACUGUGGGGACGCAUGUGGAAAGCAUAAGCCGGGAAUGGAAAGACCGGUACAAGCGAGGUAGGUGUGUGACAGGCAAAUCCGUCACAUAAGCCGAAGACGUGAUGUGGAGCGAAAUUAAGUAGUGAAGUAUGUGAGCCAUGUGCCGAGAAAAGCCGCUAUUGUUUUAUAUGUGCCCGUACCGUAAACCGACACAGGUGGAUGAGGAGAGAAUCCUAAGGCCGACGGAAGAAGCAUUGUUAAGGAAUUCGGCAAAAUGACCCCGUAACUUCGGGAGAAGGGGUGCCUGCGAGAGCAGGCCGCAGAGAAUAGGCUCAAGCAACUGUUUAGCAAAAACACAGGUCUAUGCGAAACCGAAAGGUGAAGUAUAUGGGCUGACGCCUGCCCGGUGCUGGAAGGUUAAGAGGAGAGGUUAGCGCAAGCGAAGCUUUGAAUUUAAGCCCCAGUAAACGGCGGCCGUAACUAUAACGGUCCUAAGGUAGCGAAAUUCCUUGUCGGGUAAGUUCCGACCCGCACGAAAGGCGUAAUGAUUUGAGCGCUGUCUCGACAAUGCAUCCGGUGAAAUUGAAGUACCAGUGAAGAUGCUGGUUACCCGCGCCAGGACGGAAAGACCCCAUGGAGCUUUACUCCAGUUUGAUACUGGGAUUCGGUACUGCACGUACAGGAUAGGUGGGAGACUGAGAACUAUGGACGCCAGUCUGUAGGGAGUCGCUGUUGGGAUACCACCCCUGUAGUACUGGGUUUCUAACCAUCUGCCGUGAUCCGGCAGUGGGACAAUGUCAGGCGGGGAGUUUGACUGGGGCGGUCGCCUCCGAAAGGGUAUCGGAGGCGCUCAAAGGUUCCCUCAGAAUGGUCGGAAACCAUUUGAAGAGUGCAAAGGCAGAAGGGAGCUUGACUGCGACACCGACGGGUGGAGCAGGU